AUUGAACGCUGGCGGCAGGCCUAACACAUGCAAGUCGAACGAGUGGCGGACGGGUGAGUAAUGUCUGGGAAACUGCCUGAUGGAGGGGGAUAACUACUGGAAACGGUAGCUAAUACCGCAUACCAUCGGAUGUGCCCAGAUGGGAUUAGCUAGUAGGGGGGGUAAAGGCUCACCUAGGCGACGAUCCCUAGCUGGUCUGAGAGGAUGACCAGCAAAACUGGAACUGAGACACGUGCCAGCCUCCUACGGGAGGCAGCAGUGGGGAAUAUUGCACCAUUGUGGCAAGCCUGAUGCAGCCAUGCCGCGUGUAUGAAGAAGGCCUUCGGGUUGUAAAGUACUUUCAGCGGGGAGGCGUUACCCGCAGAAGAAGCACCGGCUAACUCCGUGCCAGCGGCCGCGGUAAUAC
This 406-nucleotide ribosomal RNA is filed under the name uncultured bacterium. Its description in RNAcentral is "partial 16S ribosomal RNA". It matches the Rfam family "Bacterial small subunit ribosomal RNA", at positions 30 to 526 of the family's 1533-position model. The record is from RNAcentral.